RNAcentral lists this ribosomal RNA (292 nucleotides) under uncultured bacterium. RNAcentral describes it as "partial 16S ribosomal RNA". It matches the Rfam family "Bacterial small subunit ribosomal RNA", at positions 505 to 796 of the family's 1533-position model. The record is from RNAcentral.
GUGCCAGCAGCCGCGGUAAUACGGAGGGUGCAAGCGUUAUCCGGAUUUACUGGGUUUAAAGGGUGUGUAGGCGGACUUUUAAGUCAGCGGUGAAAUCUCCGGGCUCAACCCGGAAACUGCCAUUGAUACUAUUAGUCUUGAAUAUUGUUGAGGUAGGCGGAACGGGUCAUGUAGCGGUGAAAUGCAUAGAUAUGACCCGGAACACCGAUUGCGAAGGCAGCCUACUAAGCAAUUAUUGACGCUGAGGCACGAAAGCGUGGGGAUCAAACAGGAUUAGAAACCCCGGUAGUCC